This is a ribosomal RNA of Oryza sativa Japonica Group (Japanese rice), 119 nucleotides long. Lineage: Eukaryota; Viridiplantae; Streptophyta; Magnoliopsida; Poales; Poaceae. The record is from Rfam.
GGAUGCGAUCAUACCUACACUAAAGCUCCGGAUCCCAUCAGAACUCUGAAGUUAAGCGUGCUUGGGCGAGAGUAGUACUAGGAUGGGUGACCGGAAUCAAAAAGUUCAGAAAGCACCAA